Molecule: long non-coding RNA, 274 nt
Filed under: Lathyrus oleraceus (garden pea)
Lineage: Eukaryota; Viridiplantae; Streptophyta; Magnoliopsida; Fabales; Fabaceae
Description: Pisum sativum (pea) long non-coding RNA (PSAT_LNC013883)
Source: RNAcentral
CAGAAAGUCAAACAUCACAAGACCAUAAAAAUGGCUCAACUAGAUUUUUAAACAUUUAAUCAAUUAAAAAUCAUAUUAAAAAUGAAUUAAAAUACCUUUUAAUUUGGACAAAACCUUAAAUCCCUUCAAAACACCAAAUAAAUGGCCAUGAGAUUUAUCCUAGGUUAAACAAGGUCAAAGGACCUUAGACAAAGAAAUUUCACAAUUUUUAGAAAAUCAGAAGUAUUUUUAAACAAUUAAAAAUAUGCACAAAAACAUUUAAUUCAUGAAAAAU